RNAcentral lists this transfer RNA (72 nucleotides) under Carassius auratus (goldfish). It matches the Rfam family "tRNA". Rfam says of the family: Transfer RNA (tRNA) molecules are approximately 80 nucleotides in length. The record is from Rfam by way of RNAcentral. RNAcentral also lists the same sequence under 2 other names. Lineage: Eukaryota; Metazoa; Chordata; Actinopteri; Cypriniformes; Cyprinidae.
GGCUCGUUGGUCUAGGGGUAUGAUUCUUGCUUUGGGUGCGAGAGGUCCCGGGUUCAAAUCCUGGACGAGCCC